RNAcentral lists this ribosomal RNA (720 nucleotides) under Arthrobacter globiformis. Its description in RNAcentral is "bacterial SSU rRNA". It matches the Rfam family "Bacterial small subunit ribosomal RNA", at positions 53 to 786 of the family's 1533-position model. Lineage: Bacteria; Bacillati; Actinomycetota; Actinomycetes; Micrococcales; Micrococcaceae. The record is from RNAcentral.
ACAUGCAAGUCGAACGAUGAUCCGGUGCUUGCGCCGGGGAUUAGUGGCGAACGGGUGAGUAACACGUGAGUAACCUGCCCUUGACUCUGGGAUAAGCCUGGGAAACUGGGUCUAAUACCGGAUAUGACUCCUCAUCGCAUGGUGGGGGGUGGAAAGCUUUUGUGGUUUUGGAUGGACUCGCGGCCUAUCAGCUUGUUGGUGAGGUAAUGGCUCACCAAGGCGACGACGGGUAGCCGGCCUGAGAGGGUGACCGGCCACACUGGGACUGAGACACGGCCCAGACUCCUACGGGAGGCAGCAGUGGGGAAUAUUGCACAAUGGGCGAAAGCCUGAUGCAGCGACGCCGCGUGAGGGAUGACGGCCUUCGGGUUGUAAACCUCUUUCAGUAGGGAAGAAGCGAAAGUGACGGUACCUGCAGAAGAAGCGCCGGCUAACUACGUGCCAGCAGCCGCGGUAAUACGUAGGGCGCAAGCGUUAUCCGGAAUUAUUGGGCGUAAAGAGCUCGUAGGCGGUUUGUCGCGUCUGCCGUGAAAGUCCGGGGCUCAACUCCGGAUCUGCGGUGGGUACGGGCAGACUAGAGUGAUGUAGGGGAGACUGGAAUUCCUGGUGUAGCGGUGAAAUGCGCAGAUAUCAGGAGGAACACCGAUGGCGAAGGCAGGUCUCUGGGCAUUAACUGACGCUGAGGAGCGAAAGCAUGGGGAGCGAACAGGAUUAGAUACC